GGAAUAUUGCACAAUGGGCGGAAGCCUGAUGCAGCAACGCCGCGUGCGGGAUGACGGCCUUCGGGUUGUAAACCGCUUUCGCCUGUGACGAAGCGUGAGUGACGGUAAUGGGUAAAGAAGCACCGGCUAACUACGUGCCAGCAGCCGCGGUGAUACGUAGGGUGCGAGCGUUGUCCGGAUUUAUUGGGCGUAAAGGGCUCGUAGGUGGUUGAUCGCGUCGGAAGUGUAAUCUUGGGGCUUAACCCUGAGCGUGCUUUCGAUACGGGUUGACUUGAGGAAGGUAGGGGAGAAUGGAAUUCCUGGUGGAGCGGUGGAAUGCGCAGAUAUCAGGAGGAACACCAGUGGCGAAGGCGGUUCUCUGGGCCUUUCCUGACGCUGAGGAGCGAAAGCGUGGGGAGCGAACA
This 404-nucleotide ribosomal RNA is filed under the name uncultured Propionibacterium sp. RNAcentral's name for it is "bacterial SSU rRNA". It matches the Rfam family "Bacterial small subunit ribosomal RNA", at positions 358 to 774 of the family's 1533-position model. The record is from RNAcentral. Lineage: Bacteria; Bacillati; Actinomycetota; Actinomycetes; Propionibacteriales; Propionibacteriaceae.